RNAcentral lists this transfer RNA (70 nucleotides) under Holothuria scabra. Its description in RNAcentral is "tRNA-Gln". It matches the Rfam family "tRNA". Rfam says of the family: Transfer RNA (tRNA) molecules are approximately 80 nucleotides in length. Their secondary structure includes four short double-helical elements and three loops (D, anti-codon, and T loops). Further hydrogen bonds mediate the characteristic L-shaped molecular structure. tRNAs have two regions of fundamental functional importance: the anti-codon, which is responsible for specific mRNA codon recognition, and the 3' end, to which the tRNAs corresponding amino acid is attached (by aminoacyl-tRNA synthetases). tRNAs cope with the degeneracy of the genetic code in two manners: having more than one tRNA (with a specific anti-codon) for a particular amino acid; and 'wobble' base-pairing, i.e. permitting non-standard base-pairing at the 3rd anti-codon position. Lineage: Eukaryota; Metazoa; Echinodermata; Holothuroidea; Aspidochirotida; Holothuriidae. The record is from RNAcentral.
UGAAGUGUAGUUUAAGGUAAAAUAAGGGUCUUUGAUUCCCUUGAUGAAAGUUCGUAACUUUUCGCUUCAG